AUUGACAGUCAAGUAUACAAGGGGCUGUGCUUUUCUUUCUACUGGAUACUGUCCUUCUGAGCUUCCAAAGAAAACUCCCUGUAUCAGCCACUGUACAUUCAGUUUGGGACUGCGACUUCUCUGAACUACCUAGUGGUAUAAUUUCUUGGAACAAAGGGGGAAGAACCUAAUGCCAUACGCCUGGGAACAUGGCUACACAGAGAUAAUGCAUGUCAGCUUCAGACUUGUAACAGCAAGUGUUUUUUUUAUUGCUUUCAUGAUCUAAAUGCCCGUAUAUGGGGCGUAACUGGAAAUCAUGUGACUUCCUGAAGUUCAGCUUCCAGUUCUUGUAAACAUACGUACAAAUUUCACUUUCUGAUUUCUGGAAACCAAAAGUGAGGUGCUUCCCAGUAAACUUUUUGCGCUACAGAAAUUGAUGUUCAUGCAAAUGAUCCUCCUAAUCUAUGCUAAACAUUAAAAACUGCACUACUCAGCCACAGCCUGCCUCUGUAAAGCUGGGAUGUGCUGGCACGAAGACUCCCCCUCAUAUCAGAUGAAACAAUGCCAGCUACUCCAGCAGGACCAAGAAGAAAGCCUGAGCUGCAGCUGGAAUUCAGAAAUAGCAGCCAAGACAUAUCUGCCUAGACACACCAGGAUGGAAUCUGGGGAAUGUGAAGUGGAAGCUAAGCAGUGCCGGCAGCACCUGGAAGCAGCCAGCCUUCAUACCUGCCUUGG
Long non-coding RNA from Lagopus muta (rock ptarmigan), 714 nucleotides. RefSeq lists it as uncharacterized. Lineage: Eukaryota; Metazoa; Chordata; Aves; Galliformes; Phasianidae. The transcript is spliced from 3 exons. The record is from RefSeq and is a predicted model, not a curated record.